Molecule: non-coding RNA, 1230 nt
Organism: Castor canadensis (American beaver)
Lineage: Eukaryota; Metazoa; Chordata; Mammalia; Rodentia; Castoridae
Source: RefSeq, a predicted model, not a curated record
UCCUUGCGGCUCCGGCCCUUUUUUGCGGAGAGGCAGACUCCGUGCGUCGCCAUUUCUGGAAUAGGCGGCUGCUUUCAGUGCCUUUUCUGCGGGAGCCGCUUCGAGCCCCGGCGCCGGUGGUCGACCCCCGACUGAGCUCCGGGAGCUGCUCUCGCGCCCCGGUUCUCCGGCCCGGUGCUGGGUGGUCCGCUCGCCGGGGCUCUGGAGGCGUUCGGUUGGAUUUGGGUCGGGGGACCGGGCCGGACGGGCUCAGAGGAGAUGAGAGCCCGGCCUUGGCGGCCUUCAUCGUCCAGAGAGGGGCUCAGAUGAGCCCCUGCUGACUUGAGAGAGACCCAGCGAUUGCUGAGAAGAACUGGAAGAAGAGGGAAAAAAACAAACAGCCUCCAAACUCGGAAGCACCCCUUCACCAUGAGUAGCGCUGUGUUGGUGACUCGUCUCCCGGAUCCCAGCAGCAGCUUCCACGAGGAUGCCCCUCGGCCUCCUGUUCCAGGGGAAGAAGGGGAGACCCCAACGUGCCAGUCAGGGGUGGGCAAGGGCCAGACCGCCAAACCCAUGCCUGUCUCCACCAAUGCCAGGAGAAAUGAAGAUGGGCUGGGGGAGCCUGAGGGCCGGGCAUCCCCUGAUUCCCCUAUGACCAGGUGGACUAAGUCCUUGCACUCCUUGUUGGGCGACCAAGACGGUGCAUACCUCUUCCGGACUUUCCUGGAGAGGGAGAAAUGUGUGGAUACGCUGGACUUCUGGUUUGCCUGCAAUGGAUUCAGGCAGAUGAACCUGAAGGAUACCAAAACUUUGCGAGUAGCCAAAGCGAUCUACAAGAGGUACAUUGAGAACAACAGCAUUGUCUCCAAGCAGCUAAAACCUGCCACCAAGACCUACAUAAGAGAUGGCAUCAAGAAGCAGCAGAUUGACUCCAUCAUGUUUGACCAGGCGCAAACUGAGAUCCAGGCAGUGAUGGAGGAAAAUGCCUACCAGAUGUUUUUGACUUCUGAUAUAUACCUCGAAUAUGUGAGGAGUGGGGGAGAAAACACAGCUUACAUGAGUAACGGGGGACUGGGGAGUCUAAAAGUCUUGUGUGGCUACCUCCCCACCUUGAAUGAAGAAGAGGAGUGGACUUGUGCUGACUUCAAGUGCAAACUUUCGCCCACUGUGGUUGGCUUGUCCAGCAAAACUCUGAGAGCCACAGCAAGUGUGAGGUCCACAGAGACUGUUGAAAACGGAUACAGGUAAGAC